GGGCCGCGCGGGCACGGCACGGACCCCUCCGCCCCGCCCCGCCCCUCCCCUCGCGGGCGGGGACGCCGCACUGCGCAGGCGCCAACUCCCCCCCCCCUCCUGCCUACUGCCCCUCCACUCCGGCGCCAAGCCCCGGCUGGAGGGGAGGGGGCGCGCGGUCAGGGGCGGCGCAUGCGCGCUGCGAGCUUCGCGCCUCUUGAGGGGGGGGGGCGCUGGGGUGUCUCGCGCCGCACCUGAGGGGCAGAGAAGCAGUUACUGUAAAUAGCUACCAGGUGAAUUUGCUCAAGCUUGUGCCCUGAGAUUCAGCUUACGCUAGUAGCUGUGCUGCUCACCCAGGGUCUUCAGAUGGCAGAAAGGAGCUAGGAGCAGCUGAGAAGCACACACCUGGUAAUCAGUGAAGAGCUUAAUGCAGCACGAGCAUGGCUGUGUAAGCAAAGACCCUGGCUGUGAGAAGCAGUAAAGAAGAGACCAGGGAGUGAAUACAUUGGAAGAGGCUGUUGUGAAGCAAUGUUCUUCUGCUAUGGCAGCAUUUACAUCGCAUUACUAGCAUAUGGGAGAGUUUUAAGGUAUACAUCAGUUUUCAGCAACUUCUGUGAUUCCUAAGGUUAGCGUAAUCCCAAUUUCUCCCAAAAUGGGACUAAAAUGGAGGAAAUUUGAGCUUGUCUAUGUAGAUUGGGUUUUGAUAAUUCAAUUAGGCACUAUAAAGAAGGAACUGGAUGAGUCUUAUCCCAUAAUUGCCUUCUGGGCCUCACUCAAACUGCCCCAGGGGAGACACGAGCCUCUAAGGACCAAGGCCAUCUGCUCACUGGUGGGCUCCACCCAUUGCGACACUCCUUUUGGGUUAUCUGCGGGAAGCUGCUAUAUUCUCUUCCAUACAUUCACGGUGGCAUAAACUGGUCUUGUAACAUAAAUCAUUUUGCAGAUUAGAGAAAUGAUUAAUCUGUAGAAUGCCUUGGAAUCUCAGAACAUCUUACCACCGGGGAAAGAGAUUGUAAUUAUUACGCAAACAAAAGUUCUUGUGGAAAAUCCAAAAAUAAUUCUCCAUUCUGAUGAACAAUUUUGACAAGAUGAUUUGAGCAUGAUUGCAGUUACAACCAAGCAGUAAAGCAAACACUUCUGCUAGGCUUGGGCACUCUGUAAUCAUAUUAAUUGAACAGGUGGAAAGAAUAGAAUCUUAUUUAUACUUGCAAAACAGGCCUGCACAAGCCCAGAGCUUUAGCAGUACUUGGUACAUUCUGAACCAGAAGACUGGAAAUAUUUUAGUUUCCGUAAGGAAUAGCCCUGCUAUAAACUGAACCUCCCGCUGCGGUGGCUGUUUCUACAGAAUAGAAGACAUGGUUGCUGUUGGAAAAGGAGGGGGUCUUUCCUACUGAAAAGUGAAAUCUGAUAGUAGAAAGUAAGUGACAAGACAAGUAUUUACAUGGGUCACCUGCAUGCUUUUACAGUUGUCUCCUCCAAUUCUGCUAUAACGUGGAAACACAAGGAGAAUCAACAGUGGCGACAAACUAAGCCAUUUAAUAAUUUUCUAAUUCUUGGCAGUAGCAUUUAUGUAUUUGCUUCACCUAGAAGGCCUAAAUCGAGCAAAGGAGGAGAAUCAAGAUAACACAUACGCUCCUGUUUGCUUUGGUCCUUCUGUUUCAACCACUUUAUCACUAUAGUAUGUUGUGGUAUUCUAGCCUGCAGCCCAGAAGCAGACUUUAGCUUAAACUAUAGUAUAACUUCCUGGUUUUGUUAGCAUUUUCCUUUGCAGUGGUGUUUCACCUUUGCUAAUACAUGGACUCUAUUGCUCCUCCCUAUCUAUUUCCACAGGCGAAAAAAUGCAGAGAGCAGGUGAUAAGCUUUGCUUUCUUAGCACUGAACUGUGAAUUUUCAGUAGCAAGAAAGGGCUUGCAGCACGUCAGAACUGGGAGGCUACAGUGGCUGAAUUCCUAGCGUUCCUAUAUUAAUGUUUAUUUACUGGCAAGAUAGUCUUUGCUCACAGUUAUCUGGGGCACAGGCCUUCUUCUGUAACUUGAAAGGAGAAUUUGUGCUCUAUACAGUUCCAGACGAUGUAAUCCGAGUGAUUCCUAAUUAUAUUUUUUUCCAGUUGUGCUUCGUUUAGAGCUUCUGUUGAUUUUAAGGAUGAUGCAUGUACUUAAUUCUGAACAUUCAUUUCAUUCUAGUUCAGAAUGGAGAAUUGCUAAUACUCAUUUGAAAGCUCCAGCAUCUCAGUUGCACGUACCCUACGUUAAAGGGAGCGGACAGUAUCAGAUUUAUUUUUCAGACUACAGUACUAUCAGAAUGUUAGCAAAGCUUACAAAGAAAAACAUACCUGGACUACAAAUUUUAAAUGGAAUGAACAAGUUUCUGACUUACUAACUACACCAAAAAUUUGAUUUGUCUGAUCAUAUCUACUUGUCUUUUCAGAUUUUUCUUCGAAUGAAGCAAAUCCCUUAAAUCUAGCAUGAAUGUAUGAAUCUUCUGUUACUGUAAGUCCCUGCAUUCUUGAAAUAAAGUCAAAAGGGAAUGGGUAGAGGCCGUUC
Long non-coding RNA from Cygnus olor (mute swan), 2522 nucleotides. RefSeq lists it as uncharacterized. The record is from RefSeq and is a predicted model, not a curated record. Lineage: Eukaryota; Metazoa; Chordata; Aves; Anseriformes; Anatidae. The transcript has 3 exons.